RNAcentral lists this non-coding RNA (117 nucleotides) under Rhinolophus ferrumequinum (greater horseshoe bat). Lineage: Eukaryota; Metazoa; Chordata; Mammalia; Chiroptera; Rhinolophidae. The record is from RNAcentral.
CCCUUGCAUGAAAGGAGAGAAGGUUGGCACUCCCCUUGACAAGGAUGGAAGAGGCCCUCGGGCCAAACCACACGCGUAUGCAGUUAAGGCAUUGUGCCACCUACUUCGCUUCAUUGU